ACGGUUAAGAGGCAGACUAAGGGUCGCAUGGAGGUUACAAAAUUGAUGUUUGAACCGUUACAACUCAUGAUUAAUAGUCAUUAGUGGUACAACAGACGUUACCUUGAGCAUUCAAGCAUGGAAAACGUAUGGGUAACUCAUGAUGACCUAUUAUGGAAGGAGUCCGAGGAUUGAAGGGAAAAUUAUAUAAGAGACUCCAAAAAGAAUAUCAAGGGAGGAGGACACGAAUACAAA
RNAcentral lists this long non-coding RNA (234 nucleotides) under Lathyrus oleraceus (garden pea). Its description in RNAcentral is "Pisum sativum (pea) long non-coding RNA (PSAT_LNC012898)". The record is from RNAcentral. Lineage: Eukaryota; Viridiplantae; Streptophyta; Magnoliopsida; Fabales; Fabaceae.